This is a long non-coding RNA of Fulmarus glacialis (Northern fulmar), 711 nucleotides long. RefSeq lists it as uncharacterized. The transcript has 2 exons. The record is from RefSeq and is a predicted model, not a curated record. NCBI's taxonomy places the organism in Eukaryota, Metazoa, Chordata, Aves, Procellariiformes, Procellariidae.
ACAUGUGCGAGUGCCCGGUCCAUAAAAACUGCUACUGUGAGUCAUUCCUGGCGUACGCCCGAGCCUGUCAGAGGGAAGGGUUGAAAGUCCAGUGGGUAGCGGAGCAGAACUGUGCAGCAACCCAGUGUAAACACGGUGCAGUUUAUGAUACCUGUGGUCCAGGAUGUGUCAAAACAUGUGACAACUGGAACGAGAUUGGCCCAUGCAACAAGCCCUGCGUUGCAGGGUGCCACUGUCCGGCAAAUCUAGUUCUUCACAAGGGAAGAUGCAUCAAGCCAGUCCUGUGCCCACAGCGAUGACAUUAAUUCCCUUUCCGCGGACACUAACGCGGGUGGUCACUGACCCCUUUGAUGCUCACAGCCAGUGAAGGACUCCAGCUAUUUGUGUGCAGAUUCUGCAAAGUACAUGUCUGCUCACAGAGUGUAAAUAUGCUCCUGUGUGUAUAUUUAUGUGUGUUUAUGUAUACACACAUGGCACCUAGAAAGAUAUGUGUGUAUGUAGAUAUACAUAUCUAUACACAAGUGCCCUAAACGUAAGUACAACCCAUAUAUUUAUAUAUAUGUCCAUACACACAAAUAUACAUCAUUUCUAUAUAUCAUAGAAGGAUGAAUUAUUAUAUGUAUAUUUUUUGCUAUAAAGUUUAUGUAUUAUUAUUUCUAGGACCCUGAUCUGUAAGUCAUUGUAUAAAUAAACCAGGUGUUUUUAAUAUAA